Molecule: ribosomal RNA, 253 nt
Filed under: uncultured bacterium
Lineage: Bacteria
Description: partial 16S ribosomal RNA
Rfam family: Bacterial small subunit ribosomal RNA
Source: RNAcentral
GACGAACCGUGCGAACGUUGUUCGGAAUCACUGGGCUUAAAGGGCGCGUAGGCGGUCUGCCAAGUCCGGGGUGAAAGCCCCCAGCUCAACUGGGGAAGUGCCUUGGAUACUGGCGGACUCGAGGGAGGCAGGGGUUGUGGGAACUUCCGGUGGAGCGGUGAAAUGCGCAGAUAUCAGGAGGAACACCGGUGGCGAAGGCGGGUCUCUGGGCCGAUACUGACGCUGAGGAGCGAAAGCGUGGGGAGCGAACAGG